RNAcentral lists this small nuclear RNA (296 nucleotides) under Chinchilla lanigera (long-tailed chinchilla). RNAcentral's name for it is "7SK RNA (ENSCLAG00000021746.1)". It matches the Rfam family "7SK RNA". From Rfam's summary of the family: 7SK was discovered as an abundant small nuclear RNA in the mid-70s but a possible function has only recently been suggested. Two independent studies have found that 7SK RNA binds the CDK9/cyclin T complex (known as elongation factor P-TEFb). Lineage: Eukaryota; Metazoa; Chordata; Mammalia; Rodentia; Chinchillidae. The record is from RNAcentral.
GAGUGUGAGGGCAAUCUGGCUGCAACAUCUGAUUGAUCCCCAGGGUUGAUUUGACCGAUCUGGCUGGCUAGGUGGGUGUCCUGUCCUCCCUUACCACUCCAUGUGCAUCCCUCCCAAAGCUGUGCACUGCUUCAAAGAGGACAAACCCUAGGUCAAGGGUAUAUAAGUAGCUGCGCUCCCCUGUUAGAACCUUUAAACUCUCAAUUUCCAAAAAUCAAGCAAAGAUGGAGACACUGUCAUAGACCAGAGGAAACUCACUAAAUAUGAUGACUAAAUGCACUGUGGUAUAGUAAAUU